UGCUGGUCUCAAGUUUUGAGAUUUCCAGGGU
RNAcentral lists this non-coding RNA (31 nucleotides) under Rattus norvegicus (Norway rat). The record is from RNAcentral. Lineage: Eukaryota; Metazoa; Chordata; Mammalia; Rodentia; Muridae.